RNAcentral lists this ribosomal RNA (387 nucleotides) under uncultured bacterium. Its description in RNAcentral is "bacterial SSU rRNA". It matches the Rfam family "Bacterial small subunit ribosomal RNA", at positions 30 to 419 of the family's 1533-position model. The record is from RNAcentral.
AUUGAACGCUGGCGGCAUGCCUUACACAUGCAAGUCGAACGGCAGCGGACCUUCGGGUGCCGGCGAGUGGCGAACGGGUGAGUAAUAUAUCGGAACGUACCUUUCAGUGGGGAAUAACGUAGCGAAAGUUACGCUAAUACCGCAUAUUCUGUGAGCAGGAAAGCAGGGGAUCGCAAGACCUUGCGCUGAUUGAGCGGCCGAUAUCAGAUUAGCUAGUUGGUGAGGUAAAGGCUCACCAAGGCGACGAUCUGUAGCGGGUCUGAGAGGAUGAUCCGCCACACUGGAACUGAGACACGGUCCAGACUCCUACGGGAGGCAGCAGUGGGGAAUUUUGGACAAUGGGCGCAAGCCUGAUCCAGCCAUGCCGCGUGAGUGAAGAAGGCCUGG